RNAcentral lists this long non-coding RNA (10658 nucleotides) under Homo sapiens (human). RNAcentral describes it as "non-protein coding lnc-AKT1-1:15". Lineage: Eukaryota; Metazoa; Chordata; Mammalia; Primates; Hominidae. The record is from RNAcentral.
AGGGCGGGUCCGCGGCCGCCAGGUGAGCCCGCCCCGGUAGCCCCGCGCGUGGUCCGGUCGGCAGAGGCUUGGCGAGCCGCCAUCCCGCCCCUGCCCCAGGCCCACCUUCCCCCACCGCCCAGGCCCCGCUGGCCUCCCCGGCUCAUCUCGCACCCGGCGCAGACCCCAUGCCCUCCCGUCUCGGCAGCGCCCCCCGCUUCGCCUCCCGGUCCGGCCCCAGCUCGACGGGCGGAACCGGGUGCGCACAGCAGCCCCGCGCCCUGGCCCAGGGCCAGCGGGUUAACGCUUAACUACGCUCCAGGAGCUGUAGGCUCCAGCCGCGCCUCGAGUCCCCAACCUUUGGCCCCGGAAGCCAAAAAGAGGAGCGGACGGUGAAGGAGUCAGGGUGAGUUCCAGAGGCCGCUCCCAGAUUUUCCCUCCCGAGCCUGGCCAGACUGGGCGUAUGUCCGACAUCUCCACCUCUGACCCCGGGCGCUCUGGGCUGAGCUGGGGGCGAUGGUGGUGGGCAUCGACGCCGUCUUACCUGGACGCCCACAGUGGACCUGACCUGGCCGAGGGGUGGGGGUGGGGUUGGGAACUACGGAGGCGCUCGGGGUUCCUGGGUAAGUUCCCGCGGACUGCUCGCUCCUUGCCGGGUGCUACAAUAGGCGUAUCCGGUGUCCCUGGAGCCAAGCUAGGGGACGGGAUCAACGUGGGGGCGGGGCAGCGUGCCCGAAGGGCAUUGCUGCAUUCCAGGUGUUGGGGAACGCAGUGAGCGAAGGCGUGGAGGUGAGGGAGAAUGUGGAAGGCGUGCGCCCGGCCGGGGAACCCUGGGCUUUGUCCUGUGGGCAGCUGGAGCGGCUGGGCGUUCCCGGCUGCGACAACGCCCACCUGGCCCCGCACCUGGGCCUGCUCGCAAUCCAGCGGCGCCUCUCCGCAUCUGCCUUCACGGAUCUCAGCCCCAGCAGAGCCCUUGUGCCGGACCCUGGGGCGGGAUUGCGAGUUCAGAGGGAGUCAAGAGGCGCCCUUGAGUAUGGCGGGAGCCCCACCCCAAGCACCUGGUGGGAACUCACUUGCCUAGGGAGAGAGCAGGGCAGUGAGCACUCCGGGCUGGCUCCCAGGAAAGACCCUCCGGCAGGAGCUUGGAUUGCAAGGUUGGGGAGGAGGGAGGCCAGGGGAGGGACCUGCAGCCAGGUGAUCCGGGUGCCUGUAUUUCUUCCCAAGGAUAAUGUGAGUUGAUGCUGGCUGAGAUCUGCUCCGAUGAGGGUUUGAAAGAGAGAGCUCCGGGUGUCAAAGUCAGUGGAUGGCAAAACAUGCCUGGAGGGAGCAACCAGGCAUCCAACCACAGGCCCUGGGCUGGAGGGCGGGGGGGGGGGGGGGUGGAAGCAGAGGAAGGAGAGAGAAGGAAAUUUGGGAGGAAGAGUGGGCACGAACUGGCUGCCCAAUUGUGUGGGUGGGUAGGUGGCAGGGAGGGACUGGUUGUUCUGGGUCUGCCCCUCCGGCCCCACCACACCUGCUUCCAGGUGAGCUUAGGAAUUUCCCAGGCUUCCUCCCAGCUGGAGCCAGACGUGUCCCUCAGAGGCCCCAGCCCUGCCCAUCCUUUCCUGCCCUACCCAGGGCUUCUCUACCUUCUUGGCUUGGCCUGCUCCUUGUUCACACCUUGGUAAAUGACCCUUCACAAAAGUCAUUUUCUCUAUUUGUGCUUUUCUUUCUUUUGCCAGGACGCUUGACUUUCUCGACAGGGAGGGGGAGGCAAGCCUGGUGCCCAGUGCUCUGCCUGCACUGGUCAGUGCGCGUGGCUGUCACUUGGCUGGGAAGCUAGGCCAGGAGAGCAGCUGCAGCUGUGGAGGUCGGCAGUUGAGAGGUGGAGAGACCUGAGCACACUUGGGCCAGUCGUCCCGUGGCAUUUGGGAGCCCAGGACCGAGCCGGGGGGCAAGUGUGGGCAAUGCUUGGAGCCACAGAGUGGGGGUAGGGAAUUGGAGGGGUAGAGAGGACAACUCAAACCAAGCCAGGAACCCACAGAGGAGACCAGGAAAGGAAAACCAAGAAGGAGUGAGUCCCCAAUGCCCCCAAAUUGAUCCAUAUAUUGAAUGAUCCCCAGUAAAAGUAGCUCCAUGAUGAUUCCAAAGCCCUUAGGAAACUAAAGGUGCCAGGAGAAUGAAUAGACACGUCUCCAUAGAAGACACACACUGGUCAACAAGUACAUGGGAAAUGUCCAGCAUCCUCCAGGAAAUGCAAAGCAAAACCACAGUGAGAUCCCACCUCCCACCCGCUGGGACUGGGCAGAUGCAGUCCUGGCAAACCAGUCUUGGUGAGGAGCGGGGGUAUCAGAGCCCUGCUGCACUGAGAUACACACACACAAAAUGGAAUAGUAUUCAGUCUUAAAAAGGAAAGAAAUUCCAGUACUGGCUGCAACUUGGAUGGACCCUGAGGAUCCUAUGCUGAGUUAAAUAAGCCAGUCACAGAAGAACACGUACCAUACAAUCCCACUUAUGUGAGGUCCCUAGAGUAGUCACUUUCAUAGAGAUAGUAGCUGACAGGAGGAGCAUGGGGAGUGACUGUUUAAUGAAUACAGACUUGAAAUUUGGGAAGAGGUAAAAGUUCUGGAGAUGGAUGGUGGUGAUGGGUGGUGAUGAUGGACAUUGGAGAUGGGCAAUGGACAUGGAUGGUGGUGAUGGAUGGUAUAAAUGGAUAUUGGAUGUGGACAGCGGACGUGGACAGUGGAGAUAGAGGGUGGUGAUGGCUGGUGGACAUGGACAGUGAAGAUAGAGAGUAGUGAUGGAUGGUGGAGAUAGAGGGCGGUGAUGGACAGUGGAGAUAGAGGGUGGUGAUGGACAGUGGAGAUAGAGGGUGGUGAUGGACAGUGGACAUGGACAGUGGAGAUAGAGGGUGGUGAUGGACAGUGGAGAUAGAGGGUGGUGAUGGACAGUGGACAUGGAUAGUGGAGACAGAGGGUAGUGAUGGACAGUGGAGAUAGAGGGUGGUGAUGGACAGUGGACAUGGACAGUGGAGAUAAAGGGUGGUGAUGGACAGUGGAGAUAGAGGGUGGUGAUGGACAGUGGAGAUAGAGGGUGGUGAUGGACAGUGGAGAUAGAGGGUGGUGAUGAACAGUGGAGAUAGAGGGUAGUGAUGGACAGUGGACAUGGACAGUGGAGAUAGAGGGUGGUGAUGGAUGGUGGACAUGGACAGUGGAGAUAGAGGGUGGUGAUAGACGGUGGACAUGGACAGUGGACAUGGACGGUGGGGACAGAGGGUGGUGAUGGACGGUGGACACAGACGGUGGAGAUAGAGGGUGGUGAUGGACGGUGGACACGGACAGUGGAGAUAGAGGGUGGUGAUGGACAGUGGAGAUAGAGGGUGGUGAUGGUCAGUGGAGAUAGAGGGUGGUGAUGGACGGUGGAGAUAGAGGGUGGUGAUGGACAGUGGACAUGGACAGUGGAGACAGAGGGGGUGAUGGACAAUGGACAUGGACAGUGGAGAUACAGGGUGGUGAUGGACGGUGGACAUGGACAGUGGAGACCGGGGGUGAUGAACAGUGGACAUGGACAGUGGAGACAGAGGGUGGUGAUGGACCCUGGAGAUAGAGGGUGGUGAUGGACAGUGGAGAUAGAGGGUGGUGAUGGGCGGUGGACAUGGACAGUGGAGAUAGAGGGUGGUGAUGGACAGUGGACAUGGACAGUGGAGAUAGAGGGUAGUGAUAGACGGUGGACAUGGAUAGUGGAGAUAGAGGGUGGUGAUGGAGGGUGGAGAUGGAGGGUGGUGAUGGAGGGUGGAGAUGCAGGGUGGUGAUGGAGGGUGGCGAUGGAGGUUGGUGAUGGAGGGUGGCGAUGGAGGGUGGUGAUGGAGGGUGGAGAUGGAGGGUGGUGAUGGAGGGUGGAGAUGCAGGGUGGAAAUGGAGGGUGGAGAUGCAGGGUGGAAAUGGAGGGUGGUGAUGGACAGCAGAGAUGAAUGGUUGUGAUGGAUGGUGGAGAUGGAGGGUGGAAAUGGUGGGUGAUGGAGGGUGGAGAUGGUGAGUGGUGAUAGAAGGUGGAGAUGAAUGGUGGCGAUGGACGGUGGAAAUGGAAGAUGGAGAUGGAGGGUGGAUGGAGGGUGGAGAUGGUGAGUGGUGAUACAGGGUGGAGAUAAAUGGUGGUAAUGGACAUAGAGAUGGACGGUGGAAAUGGAGGAUGGUGAUGGUUGUACAACAAUGUGAAUGCACUUGAUGUCACUCAACUGUUCACUUAAAAAUGGCAAACAUAGUAGUUUUUAUGUUACAUAUAUUUUACUACAAUAAAAAAAGAAUGAAAAGCCUAUAAAAUUCUGAAAAAUAAAAAAGGGGGCUUUAGCCCUGCCAGAGAGUAGAAUCCAUCAUAGAACAUCUUGCUAUGGGCAGUUGACUGGACACACACAUCAGAGCAGGUCUGUGUGAUCAUUUAGCAUAUGAUUAAUGGGGCAUUUAAAAUCCACGAGGGGCCGGGCGCAGUGGCUCACGCCCGUAAUCCCAGCACUUUGGGAGGCCGAGGCGGGUGGAUCACCUGAGGUCAGCAGUUCGAGACCAGCCUAACUAACAUGGGGAAACCCUGUCUCUACUAAAAAUACAAAAAAUAGCUGGGCAUGGUGGUGGGUGGCUGUAAUCCCAGCUACUGAGGUGGCUGAGGUGGGAGAAUCACUUGAACCUGGAAGCGGAGGUUGCAGUGAGCCAAGAUCGUGCCACUUCUCUCCAGCCUGAGCAACAAAGCGAGACUCUGUCUCAAAAAAUAAAUUAAUUAAUAAAUAAAUAAAUCCAUGAGGGAAAGGAUGUCAUUUAAAAAAGGGUGUGGCCAGGCACGGUGGCUCAUGCCUAUAACCAGCACUUUGGAGGCCGAGGCAGGUGGAUCACCUGAGGUCAGGAGUUUGAGACUGGCCUGGCCAGCAUGGUGAAACUCUGUCUCUACUAAAAAAAAAGGACAAAAUUAGCUGGAUGUGGUGGCGCAUGCCUGUAAUCCCAGCUACUUGGGAGGCUGAGGCAGGAGAAUCGCUUGAACCUGGGAGGCAGAGAUUGCAGUGAGCCUAGAUUACGCCAUUGUACUUCAGUCUGGGCAACGAGCGAAACUCCAUCUCAAAAAAAAUAAAAAUAAUAAUAAAAUAAUAAUAAAGGGUGGUGGAGCAACUGGGCGGCCUUGGUGUCUGGAAAAACAUGACGUUGGAUCCUGAUCCCACUCUUCACACGGAAAUAAAUUCCUUAUGGAGCGGAAAUAGAAAUGCAAAAACCCAAAACCACAAACAUAAUUUGGAAAAAACACAGGAGACUAUUUAAUGAUCUCAGGAUCCGGAAGGCUUUUCUGAGCACAACAAAAAAGCAGAAGCCACAGGGAACAUUGUUGAAAAAUUUAAUUAAAUUACAAAUGGCAACAUUUUGCCUAGACCACAUAUUUAAAAUCAAAGGAUGUGCAACAAACUGGGGAGAACCCAUGAUAACUCAGUGGUUAACAAAGGGCCGAUUCUCCCAACAAAGGGCUACUAUCAGUCAACGAGGAAAGGGCCAGGCCGCCGGACACGCUGCACAAAGGAAGCCCCAAUGGCUGCUGACUGCAAGAUGCUGAACCUCCGCCGUAAUCAGGGAUGAGCAAAUUGGCCCUACCGGAAGAUGGUAUUUUCACCUGUCAGACGUUUUCAUGAGAGACUGGGAUGGGAGGAGCGGGGAGACAGGCACUUCCCACAACUCCCAGCAGGAGUGUGAAUUUGGGGUGUCGGGGGAGGGGAUUUUGUUUCCACUAUAGCCUGGUACUGCGAUUUGGUCCAGGGCUCUGGUGAAGAUGUAGGAGUUGGCCUGCGUCAGCGCCCGUCCCCGCUUUCCACAGCGAGCAAAGACCGUGGGAACCCUGAUGCCCCUUUGCAUUUGCGCUUCUGUACUUAGCUGCUAGUCUCAGGCAGUGAAAGCUUCAAGCCACCCGCAGAGCCCUGGAACUGGGGCAUUGGCUCUAGUGGGAAAAGGAGGCUUCCCACUGGCGACCCACCAUGACAGACCACAAAAGACAUGCAGGUCCCCACAGUCAGGCCCUGACACCCACUCUUCCUGCCUUCUUCUGCCUAGGCUUGCACAGCUGGGCAAGUGAGCGGGAGCCACGGGUUAGCUGAGAUCACCUGCGGCCAGGAACAGGGCCUUCCUGGAGGUGAGGACAAGCUCUGCUUCCUCCAGGAGCAGGUGCUGGAGCAGAGCGGCUCCCCCGUUCUACAAGUGUCCUCUGUGUGGCGGCCCAGGUCUGUGCGGGCCUGUCCAGCCCAGGAGAGGACAGAAGUCAUCUGUAGCCUGGGCCCCUGUGGCCCCCAGCGAGAGGCCCUGGUGGGACUGGUCUUUCUCAGCCUGUGCACCUGGGGCUGAAACAGGACUCAAAGAGGGAAAGUGGCCCAGGCAGGCCCUCCCCUCAGGCCUCCCCUCUCCCUGGCUGCUCUCCCAGGCUUCCCUGCUUUCCCUUCUGAGACCCCGACUACUGGACCCAGCCUUACUGCCAAGAUAAUUAUCCACAACAGCAGGAGCGCCCAGGCCCAUGAAGAUAAUCGCCUGCCCAGCACUGUGUCCACAUCCAGUUCAUCCCAGCUGAGACCCAAGUGCAGCUGAGGGGUGGGGGACACUCCUCAGCUCUCGAAUGAUGCCAACCCUCCAGGGCCUGGCUGGGAGCAGCUCAGUGCUUCCUGGCUCCGGGGCUGUGUUCCCUACGUCCCAUUCGGAGCUUCUCUCCUGAAGAAAACAGUGUCUGCCUGCACCCUUCUUAGAAAGCACCCUGACACGUGGCUACAAAGAGCAGAGAGCACAGUACCCUUCCCAGACACACACCAGCACCCCCACCCACUGCAUUUAAGCCACCACUGUCCCGCCGCAUUCAUCCCUCCUCUACCCCCUAAAUUCAUCUUUCAGUGGAACUCUGCGUUCAUCCCUCCACUCCCCGCUCCAUUCAUCCCUCCACUCCCUGCUCCAUUCACCCCUCCACUCCCCCCUCCAUUCACCCUUCCACUCCCCCCUCCAUUCAUCCUUCCACUACCCCCUAAAUUCAUCCUUCCACAGAACCCUGCGUUCAUCCCUCCACUCCCCGCUCCAUUCACCUCCACUCUCCCUCCAUUCACCCCUCCAAACCCCCCUCCAUUCACCCCUCCACUCUCCCCUCCCUUCACCCUCCACUCCCUGCUCCUUUCACCCCUCCACUCCCCCCCAUUCACCCUUCCACUCCCCCCUCCAUUCAUCCUUCCACUACCCCCUAAAUUCAUCCUUCCACAGAACCCUGCGUUCAUCCCUCCACUCCCCGCUCCAUUCACCUCCACUCUCCCUCCAUUCACCCCUCCAAACCCCCCUCCAUUCAUCCCUCCACUCCCCCCUCCAUUCACCCCUCCACUCCCCCCUACAUUCACCCCUCCACUCCCCCCUCCAUUCACCCCUCCACUCCCACCUCCAUUCACCCCUCCACUCCCCCCUCCAUUCACCCCUCCACUCCCCCCUCCAUUCACCCCUCCACUCCCCCCUCCAUUCACCCUCCACUCCCCCCUCCCUUCAACCUCCAGUCCCCUCUCCAUUCACCUCUCCACUCCCCCCAUUCACCCCUCCACUCCCCACUCCAUCCCUCCAUUCCCCCCUCCAUUCAUCCCUCCACUCCCCCCUACAUUCAUCCCUCCACUCGCCCCUACAUUCAUCCCUCCCCUACUCCUUACAUUCAUCCUUCCACUCCCUCACUCCAUUCAUACCUCCACUUCCCCCUCCAUUCAUUCCUCCACUGCCCCCUCCAUUCCUCCACUGCCCCCUCCAUUCCUCCCUCCACUGCCCCCUCCGUUCAUCCCUCCACUGCCCCCUACAUUCAUCCCUCCCCUAUCCCCUCCCUGCCCCCUCCGUUCAUCCCUCCACUGCCCCCUCCGUUCAUCCCUCCACUGCCCCCUACAUUCAUCCCUCCCCUAUCCCCUCCAUUCAUCCCUCCACUCCCUCACUCCAUUCAUCCCUCCACUGCCCCCUCCAUUCCUCCCUCCACUGCUCCUGACUGCCGGCUCUGGGGCAGUGCUCUGUGUCCCAUGGUGCAGAGUAGGACAAUGAUGAGGAGGCAGAAGAGCAAUCGAGUGGAGUUUCGGAGAGUACUGUCAUAACCCUGCGCUGAGGGCGGAUCCCAUCUCUGCCCAGGUCCUGGAUCUUUACCACCCAGCACCCACACACCCCCUAAGCUCUGCAGGACCCAUGGUGAACAAGAUGAGGAAGAGGACUGAGGUGGUCAUCUCCUUUCUACUUCAGCGGGAAUCCUUUCUCUGCGGUUCAUCAGGGAAAAUGGAAUUUUUUUUGCUCACCUACAGAUCAGCUCUCCAGCAUGACGGGCCCUGCGGACCACCUGCCUCAAAGCCUUUCCUCCUUGUUCUUUCCAACAGAACCAGGGGCUUUCAGCCAUCUGUGGUGAUCUCUUGAUCUCGGGGAAGGGGCCAGGUCCAGGACUGAGCAAGGGCACAUAACUAAUUUGGGGCCAAGGAGAUAUGAGGGGAAGUGUGCUGUUGCAGGGGACAGUGUGUGGGGAAGGGCGCUUCUAGGAAUGCCGUCCUCCUGUUAAAGAGUUGAUGUGAGGUAAGACAUUCUCUGUCUCUACUCACCGCCUCUGCUGGGUGAGGACAUGAUUCUUGGGACUGCAGAGCCAUCUUGAGACUAAGAGAAGACCAGGAGCAGAGCAGACAAGCUGACCAAGAUCCCUGCCACAGCUGAACUGGACCCAGAGCCAUAGACUUCUUAAUCUUACGAAGUGGAUCAAGCUAACAAACUUAAACGAUGUUGUUUAAGCUACUUUGGGUUGGAUGUUCUGUUAGUUACAGCUGAAUCACCCAUGUAGCAGAGGAUGUUUUUAUUUAUUUUAGAGACAAGCUGUUGCUCUGUCACCCCGGCUGAAGUGCAGGUGCAAUCAUAGCUCACUGCAGCCUCAAAAUCCUGGCUGCAAGUGAUCCUCCCACCUCACCCUCCCAAGUACCUGGGACUACAGGUGCACUCUGCCACGCCAGCUAAUUUUUUAAAUUUUUGUAAAUAUGGGGCCUCAGUAUGUUGCCCAGGCUGUUAUUGAAUUCCCGGCCUCAAACGAUCCUCCUGCUUCAGUCUCCCAAAGUGCUGGGAUUACAGGUGUGAACCACUGUACCUCGCCCUGCACACGUGCUUAGAUAUGCUUUCUCCAAGUACUGUUCUUUGGAAUACUGGUAAUAAAUAUUUCUAUGAGCUGGGCACGGUGGCUCACUCCUGUAAUCCCAGCAUUUUGGGAGGCUGAGGCGGGCGGAUCAUCUAAGGUCAGGAGUGCAAGACCAGCCUGACCAACAUGGAUAAACCCCAUCUCUACUAAAGAUACAAAAUUAGCUGCGCGUGGUGGCGCAUGCCUGUAGUCCCAGCUACUCGGGAGGCUGAGGCAGGAGAAUUGCUUGAACCCGGGAGGCAGAGGUUGCGGUGAGCUGAGAUCGCACCACUGCACUCCAGCCUGGACAACAAGAGUGAAACUCCAUCUCAAAAAAAAAAUUUUUUUUUCUAUGGAAAAAAGUCUAUUUUGUGAGAUAUACAUAUAUUUUUUUUUAAAUAAAAAUGUGUUGGUCCACCCCCCCCACACCUCCACCCCUGCAGUCAAAGCCACUGACCAUGGAGCCAGGAGCCACCCAAUGAGGUGUCUUUUCUCUAAGGAUGGUGAAGUUAGAGAAGGCUCCUUUAAACCUCCUCCACCAUGUGCCAGAAACCCAGAGAACACUCACGGCGGCCCUGAGCUCUCGAGAAUCGUUGUGCAAUGCCCAUUCCAGCAGCCAUGCACAUCUCAUGGCCAGGGUGAGCCUAGGAAGGAAGGGCAGAGGAUGACACAUUCGACGUGAGUAGGACUUUCUGUGUGUCCACUCUGUGGGGCUCUUCUUUGGAACGUCACUGUGGACACAGGAGUCAGAGGUGAACGAAGGCACUGAGAGGGGAUGGGGCACUGGCAUUGGAGGAGUGAGGAGCACCCAGCCAUCCUUAUUCGCUUUACUGCUUUUGGCAGUUUUUCUGUUUGAUGUGUUAAUUCGUGUACACGCUGCAUGCCAGCCGCCACUGAUGGCCGCCUUAACGGCGGUGCUGACCACGGCUGCUUUGUCAGCACAGGUGAAGCUGUUGAAACGCCUCUCAGAGGGGCCUCUGGUGGCACUGCCCAUCUCUUCCCUCAGCCUCUCCUGAGUGAGGCCUGCUGCGGGGUUUCCGAGAGUUCCCUCAGGAAGCGGCAGAAGGGAGCAGAUGCCCGAGGUCAGGUGCCUGAGAGACGGUAGCAUUUGGACAGCCCAGUAGCCUUUCCCAUGGUCACGCAAAUUCUCCUGAAACUCAGGCAGGGUCUGAAGAAACACAAGAUGGCACAAAGCCAUCCCCAGAGCCGUGGGUCCCACGUGGUUAAAUGUGGAAAACACUCGCUGAGGGUCAUAGUGGAAAACAGCGGCUGGAGAUGGGGUCUUCCUGUUGGCUGCCGAGACGGUGACAUCUACAGGUGUUGAGUGGCUAAAAAAAUGUAUUCCUUGCAAUGCCUCACAGACAUGGUAACGUAUGCACAUAUGCGUAGUGGCCUGCCAGGGCUGGUAAGAUAACAUCCCUUCUAUAUUCAGGGAGAUGAAAUCUGAUCUUUUUUUUUUUUUUUUUUUUUUUGAGACAGAGUCUUGCUCUGUCACCCAGGCUGGAGUGCAGUGGCGUGAUCUUGGCUCACUGCAACCUUCGCCUCCCAGG